This 466-nucleotide ribosomal RNA is filed under the name uncultured bacterium. RNAcentral's name for it is "partial 16S ribosomal RNA". It matches the Rfam family "Bacterial small subunit ribosomal RNA", at positions 28 to 507 of the family's 1533-position model. The record is from RNAcentral.
GACGAACGCUGGCGGCGCGCCUAACACAUGCAAGUCGAACGAGCGAGAGAGAGCUUGCUUUCUCGAGCGAGUGGCGAACGGGUGAGUAACGCGUGAGGAACCUGCCUCAAAGAGGGGGACAACAGUUGGAAACGACUGCUAAUACCGCAUAAGCCCACGGCUCGGCAUCGAGCAGGGGGAAAAGGAGCAAUCCGCUUUGAGAUGGCCUCGCGUCCGAUUAGCUAGUUGGUGGGGUAACGGCCCACCAAGGCGACGAUCGGUAGCCGGACUGAGAGGUUGAACGGCCACAUUGGGACUGAGACACGGCCCAGACUCCUACGGGAGGCAGCAGUGGGGAAAAUUGCACAAUGGGGGAAACCCUGAUGCAGCGACGCCGCGUGGAGGAAGAAGGUCUUCGGAUUGUAAACUCCUGUUGUUGGGGAAGAUAAUGACGGUACCCAACAAGGAAGUGACGGCUAACUACGUG